RNAcentral lists this ribosomal RNA (117 nucleotides) under Danio rerio (zebrafish). Lineage: Eukaryota; Metazoa; Chordata; Actinopteri; Cypriniformes; Danionidae. The record is from RNAcentral.
UUCGGCAACUAGCUCUCUGCACCUCUCACAUGGUCGCUCAUUGAAGUCAAGCAGAGCUGCGGCUGGUCAGUACCAGGAUGGGAGACCAAAUGGGAAAGCUAUAGGUUGCUGCCAAAA